This 348-nucleotide unclassified non-coding RNA is filed under the name soil metagenome. RNAcentral's name for it is "partial contains 5.8S ribosomal RNA, internal transcribed spacer 2, and large subunit ribosomal RNA". The stretch from base 1 to 121 matches the Rfam family "5.8S ribosomal RNA", at positions 35 to 154 of the family's 154-position model. The record is from RNAcentral.
GAUGAAGAACGUAGCGAAAUGCGAUAAGUAAUGCGAAUUGCAGAAUUUCCGUGAGUCAUCGAAUCUUUGAACGCACAUUGCGCCCCCUGGUAUUCCGGGGGGCAUGCCUGUCCGAGCGUCAUUGCUGCCCUCAAGCACGGCUUGUGUGUUGGGCCCCGUCCUCCGAUCCCGGGGGACGGGCCCGAAAGGCAGCGGCGGCACCGCGUCCGGUCCUCGAGCGUAUGGGGCUUUGUCACCCGCUCUGUAGGCCCGGCCGGCGCUUGCCGAUCAACCCAAAUUUUUUAUCCAGGUUGACCUCGGAUCAGGUAGGGAUACCCGCUGAACUUAAGCAUAUCAAUAAGCGGAGGA